This is a non-coding RNA of Picea glauca (white spruce), 159 nucleotides long. The record is from Rfam. NCBI's taxonomy places the organism in Eukaryota, Viridiplantae, Streptophyta, Pinopsida, Pinales, Pinaceae.
GGAUGCACCUAUACUGGAACCAACAUGAUGGGGUAGAAAAUGGGAUAUCAAUCUAAGUGGAUCUGAUUGUGGGGAAAACUCCAUAGUUAAGCGUGCUUGGGCCAGAGGAGUCUUGGGAUGGGUGACCUCCUAGGAAGUCUUGGCUACCAGGUGCAAGCC